RNAcentral lists this non-coding RNA (994 nucleotides) under Steromphala umbilicaris. RNAcentral describes it as "12S ribosomal RNA". It matches the Rfam family "Bacterial small subunit ribosomal RNA". Lineage: Eukaryota; Metazoa; Mollusca; Gastropoda; Trochida; Trochidae. The record is from RNAcentral.
GGUAAAUUUGGUUUUGGUUUAGUACUUAAUUAAAACUAUAGUAAAACACAUGGUACCUUAAGGAAUCUAGUGAGUAAAGCAUGUUGAAAUUAUAUAAUAAUUAAAUAUUUAUUUGUUAAUUAAAAUGUAGCAUAAUUUAUUUAAUUACGCUUAAUUUGUUCACAUAACGCCAGUGUUGGAGUUUAGUUAAUCAAUUUAAGUUGGCUCUAGUAAUUUGUUUUAUAGGCCUGGUAAAGUUUGUGCCAGCCACCGCGGUUAGACAAACAGGUCAAGUUAAGUUUAAUAUGGUAAAAAAGGAAGUAAAAUUAGCGAUUUAAAAAGGAUUAAUUUAGUGUAAAGGGGUGGAAUCCGUAUACAAUAAAUUGAAUCAGUGCCUCUUUUUUUUGACGCUUCGAAAACUAAAUAAGAGACCGGGAUUAGAUACCCCGUUAUUUUUUUUGUAAAUUUUGAUUGUUUAAUUUACCUGAGUAUUACGGGUUAUAAUGACUCUAUAUUAAUUUAAGUUAGUUAUGUGUUGUUUAGAUACUUAAAACUCAAAAAACUUGGCGGUGCCUUAUUUCCUCCCAGGGGAACCUGUCCUGUAAUCGAUGAUCCACGAUUAAUCUUACUUUUUUUUGAAUUUACAUAAAAUGUAAAACCAGUUUGUAUACCGUCGUCGUCAGAUUACCUUUAAGAGUUAAAAAGUUGUCUGUUGAAUUAGGAUUUUAUUUAUAAUAUUUUUACAAUAUGUAAUUGAAGUUGAUUUUUGAUGUCAGAUCAAGGUGCAGCUUAUAAAAAAGUAGAGAUGGGUUACAAUAUAAAUUUUAUAGUAUGGAUACCAAUUUGAAACAGUUGGGUGAAAGCGGACUUGGAAGUAAUAUUAAUAAAUAAAUUAAAAUUAGUAAGUUUAUGUGAAUAAAGGUACUAAGGUGCGCACAAAUCGCCCGUCGCUCUCGUCGGAAGAUGAGAUAAGUCGUAACAUAGUGAGGGUACUGGAAAGUGUUCUGAAGAAAAU